CUUAUUUCACUUUUCUUCCAACAAUUUACGAAGGGCGUUUGAUGCGAAGAGUUUGAAGGUCAACAAAAUAAAUGACCCGAUGAAAGAAAAAAUAGCUCCUCACAAACCGAUAAACAUAAACUUCCCAUAUCGCCCAAGCGCAGCAAAAACGAAACCUGCAACGUGAUUGGCCUUCCCAUAUGCUCAUUAAAACAUUUAGGUAAUUAUUGUAAGGUCUCUUGACGAGGAUUUACUAUAAAAUAUACACAAACAUUGAAGAUUAUGCGUUACAUUUCUUCCACCCACGGAAAGCUUCGUCAUUGGCGUCUAUGUGUAUGAAUGAUAGGGCAAAGAUUGCUAUCAUUAUAUCAAAAAAUAUUUUCGCGCAACUUGCUGGUAUGGACGCAUGUAUGGGAAAAAGAAAUCAAAAACGAAACUCGAAGGCCAGCUGGAAAACAAAUAAAACAUUUAUUCAAUGUUGCUCAUAGCAACGAAACAAGUAAAAAUUCAGGUUAUUUACAUGGAAAAUGAUCGAAAACGUAAUGCACUUAAAA
Long non-coding RNA from Xenia sp. Carnegie-2017, 533 nucleotides. RefSeq lists it as uncharacterized. The transcript has 2 exons. The record is from RefSeq and is a predicted model, not a curated record. Lineage: Eukaryota; Metazoa; Cnidaria; Anthozoa; Malacalcyonacea; Xeniidae.